This 497-nucleotide ribosomal RNA is filed under the name uncultured bacterium. RNAcentral describes it as "partial 16S ribosomal RNA". It matches the Rfam family "Bacterial small subunit ribosomal RNA", at positions 28 to 507 of the family's 1533-position model. The record is from RNAcentral.
GACGAACGCUGGCGGCGUGCCUAAUACAUGCAAGUUGAGCGAUGAAGAUUGGUGCUUGCCCCAAUUUGAAGAGCAGCGAACGGGUGAGUAACGCGUGGGGAAUCUGCCUUUGAGCGGGGGACAACAUUUGGAAACGAAUGCUAAUACCGCAUAACAACUUUAAACAUAAGUUUUAAGUUUGAAAGAUGCAAUUGCAUCACUCAAAGAUGAUCCCGCGUUGUAUUAGCUAGUUGGUGAGGUAAAGGCUCACCAAGGCGAUGAUACAUAGCCGACCUGAGAGGGGGAUCGGCCACAUUGGGACUGAGACACGGCCCAAACUCCUACGGGAGGCAGCAGUAGGGAAUCUUCGGCAAUGGACGAAAGUCUGACCGAGCAACGCCGCGUGAGUGAAGAAGGUUUUCGGAUCGUAAAACUCGGUUGGUAGAGAAGAACGUUGGUGAGAGUGGAAAGCUCAUCAAGUGACGGUAACUACCCAGAAAGGGACGGCUAACUACGUG